This 253-nucleotide ribosomal RNA is filed under the name uncultured bacterium. RNAcentral describes it as "partial 16S ribosomal RNA". It matches the Rfam family "Bacterial small subunit ribosomal RNA", at positions 524 to 776 of the family's 1533-position model. The record is from RNAcentral.
UACGUAGGGUGCGAGCGUUGUCCGGAAUUAUUGGGCGUAAAGAGCUUGUAGGCGGUUUGUCGCGUCUGCUGUGAAAAUCCGGGGCUCAACCCCGGACUUGCAGUGGGUACGGGCAGACUGGAGUGUGGUAGGGGAGACUGGAAUUCCUGGUGUAGCGGUGGAAUGCGCAGAUAUCGGGAAGAACACCCGUGGCGAAGGCGGUUCUCUGGGACGGUACUGACGCUGAGGCGCGAAAGCGUGGGGAGCGAACAGG